GAUGCCUUCGUCUAGUGGUCUAGGACAUCGCUCUUUCACAGCGGCAACGUAGGUUCGAAUCCUGCAGGCAUCACCA
RNAcentral lists this transfer RNA (76 nucleotides) under Xanthomarina gelatinilytica. RNAcentral describes it as "tRNA-Glu". It matches the Rfam family "tRNA". Rfam says of the family: Transfer RNA (tRNA) molecules are approximately 80 nucleotides in length. Their secondary structure includes four short double-helical elements and three loops (D, anti-codon, and T loops). Lineage: Bacteria; Pseudomonadati; Bacteroidota; Flavobacteriia; Flavobacteriales; Flavobacteriaceae. The record is from RNAcentral.